UUUUAAUCUGGUAAAGUAAAUAGUCAUUUAUUUUCAAGAAAGUUAUAUAUCAUAUAAUAUAUAUAAUAAAUAAUAAUAUAACACUACAUAAAUACAUAUUAUAUAUUGUUCCUUCUCUUUUUCUCUGAACCCUCUAGAGCUGACUGGCUGUGUUUCAUACCGUCCUUUUGCUCCCAGUUUGGACCUCGUUUGCCAGACCCCCUUCUGGUCAGCAGGACCCGUGUGGCGGAGUUCUGGCUGCUUGAACGAAGGAGGAGAGUUGUGAGCCGCCUCUACGCGAGCCUGCGAGGACUUCCCAUGUCACGUGCUCACAUGUGCUGUCCAUCCUCCUUCCUGGUGGGUGAGCGCGUCCCAGAGACACCUGGAGACUUGUGCUGAAGAUGCUGGAGCCAGCAAAUGGGCAGAGCCCGUGUUCCCGCCGCUCCGCAUAGAGGAGGGGACACACACUUGCCACCCGCUCAUCAGGAGCAGCAGUUUGGCGCGUAGCCUUUACUUAAAGCUCAAGUGCCAAGCGGUGAAGACACUCCUACGGCAGGCGGUGAACGUGGGACUGAUGCUAUGCGGUUGUAACGCAUUUGAUGAAGCAGUUGCCUCCCAGGACUUAGAAGGCGGACGCAGUUCCGUCGAAGCCUGAGCCUGUUGGGGAGCGAGGGGAGGGGGGAAGCGGGGUAGGAGGUGUGAGGAUUUUCUUUUCUCCUCUGAAGACGUUACAGAGCAGAGAGGAGCUCGUUGAAAUCACUCUCUCGUUUGCAAACAGAAAUGAAAUUGAAUAGCAAGCGUCCAAAGAGCCAUGGAUAAGGAGCCGCCGGGGUUAUCCGGUGACGAAGUGUUCCCUGGGUGUCUGCCAUCUGUGCAGUUAAAGAAAAACAGCCAGUGCUGCCACUGAAGAGAUUAGAGCGGAGCAGAGAGAAAAGCCCAUAAAUACAAUUUGCUGGGAGGGGCACCAGGCGUUGUGUAGGACACAGGGUGAAGGACUUCCCCCUGAGCUGUCACCUCCGAUAGGGGACACCAGGAGCACAAAUGGGAGCUGGCACAGGAUGAUGCCGUCUUCCCGAUGCCAGUGCAGCCGUGCCGGCCUCACACAAGCCCAGCCGCGAGCUGAGUGCCUAGAACACAGCCUGGAACGUGGGGAUGCCACCUGUCAACCACAAAGAGCACCCGAAAGGCCAGAUGCUCACAAGCAGCCGUCCCGGGGACACCAUUCAACGCAGAACCGUCUCUGAGCACACGGCCUUCUGCGAGGGGUUUUAUGUGGUAGAACAUGGAAUCGAAUUGCACGUCAGUUAUUAAUGGAAUUCUUCAAUACAAGCACAGCCGUUCAACGGAAGGAAGAGGAUGCACAAAUAAAUGCUAAUAAAUAGGGUCAUAAAGAAGUGGUUCUGCCUUCAAACCAAUUCUAAAGCGUUCAGUAAGACAGUGACACUGCACAUCUUUCCUGUGACACGCUCAAAGCAGUUUUUCGUGCAUUCAGAAGUCAUCGUGUGUGUGUGUGCACGUGUGUGUGAAUGAGUCAUGAUGGAAAUGCC
This 1526-nucleotide long non-coding RNA is filed under the name Equus caballus (horse). RNAcentral describes it as "lncRNA (ENSECAG00000045184.1)". Lineage: Eukaryota; Metazoa; Chordata; Mammalia; Perissodactyla; Equidae. The record is from RNAcentral.